RNAcentral lists this long non-coding RNA (619 nucleotides) under Pan troglodytes (chimpanzee). Its description in RNAcentral is "lincRNA". The record is from RNAcentral. Lineage: Eukaryota; Metazoa; Chordata; Mammalia; Primates; Hominidae.
UCUAUCUUCAAGCUGCAAUGAAGCUGAGAGCCACAGAAAACACCUGUACCAUGGUUUCAGGGAGGAGUCUCUUCCCUCAGCCGAAAACAGACAGCUUUGCUGGUCAUCUGUUCUCCACUGCGAGGACGCUGCCACUCAGUGUGGAGAGAGGAAGGGGUUCUGCCUAUGGUGCAAGAAGGUCGGACUCGGCAGUUAAUACUCUUGGAUAAUGUAUUUAAGGAUGCUUAAGAAAUUGCAACAGCCAGUUCAACCUUCAGCAACCACCAUACUGAUCAGUAGUCAUCAACAUUGAGACGAGACUGUACACCAGCAAAAAGAUCCCAACUCAAUGAAGGCUCAGAUGAUUUUAGCAUUUUUUUAGCAAUAAAGCAUUUUUAAAUUAAACUAUAUACAUUGUUGUUUUAGACAAGUUUUUGCACAUUCAGAAUACAGUAAAGUGUAAACAUGGCUUUUAUAUACACUGGGGAAACCAAAAAAUUUGUGUGACUUACUUUAUUGCAAUAUUUGUUUUAUUGUGCUGAUCUGGAGCUAAAUAUAUCUGAGAUAUGCUUGUACUGAUGAUUAUUUUAACACCAAGAUAUAUUUUAAAAUUCAUUAAAUAAAUUUUUAUUUAAAUAGA